RNAcentral lists this ribosomal RNA (250 nucleotides) under uncultured bacterium. RNAcentral describes it as "partial 16S ribosomal RNA". It matches the Rfam family "Bacterial small subunit ribosomal RNA", at positions 355 to 598 of the family's 1533-position model. The record is from RNAcentral.
UGGGGAAUAUUGGACAAUGGACGAAAGUCUGAUCCAGCAACGCCGCGUGAGCGAUGAAGGCCUUCGGGUCGUAAAGCUCUGUCAGAUGGAACGAAAGAAGCUUACCUAAUACGUAAGCUGUUGACGGUACCAUCAAAGGAAGCACCGGCUAACUCUGUGCCAGCAGCCGCGGUAAUACAGAGGGUGCUAGCGUUGUUCGGAAUUACUGGGCGUAAAGCGAACGUAGGUGGUCUUGUGUGUCUGGUGUGAA